This 1446-nucleotide ribosomal RNA is filed under the name uncultured bacterium. RNAcentral's name for it is "bacterial SSU rRNA". It matches the Rfam family "Bacterial small subunit ribosomal RNA". The record is from RNAcentral.
GCCUAACACAUGCAAGUCGAACGAGACCUUCGGGUCUAGUGGCGCACGGGUGCGUAACGCGUGGGAACCUGCCCUUAGGUUCGGAAUAACUCCCCGAAAGGGGUGCUAAUACCGGAUAAUGUCUUCGGACCAAAGAUUUAUCGCCUUUGGAUGGGCCCGCGUUGGAUUAGCUAGUUGGUGAGGUAAAGGCUCACCAAGGCGACGAUCCAUAGCUGGUCUGAGAGGAUGAUCAGCCACACUGGGACUGAGACACGGCCCAGACUCCUACGGGAGGCAGCAGUGGGGAAUAUUGGACAAUGGGCGAAAGCCUGAUCCAGCAAUGCCGCGUGAGUGAUGAAGGCCCUAGGGUUGUAAAGCUCUUUUACCCGGGAUGAUAAUGACAGUACCGGGAGAAUAAGCUCCGGCUAACUCCGUGCCAGCAGCCGCGGUAAUACGGAGGGAGCUAGCGUUGUUCGGAAUUACUGGGCGUAAAGCGCACGUAGGCGGCUUUUUAAGUCAGGGGUGAAAUCCCGGGGCUCAACCCCGGAACUGCCUCUGAAACUGGAUGGCUAGAAUCUUGGAGAGGCGAGUGGAAAUUCCGAGUGUAGAGGUGAAAUUCGUAGAUAUUCGGGAAGAACACCCAGUGGCGAAGGCGACUCGCUGGACAAGUAUUGACGCUGAGGUGCGAAAGCGUGGGGGAGCAACAGGAUUAGAUACCCUGGUAGUCCACGCCGUAAACGAUGAAAACUAGCUGUCCGGGUUCAUAGAACUUGGGUGGCGCAGCUAACGCAUUAAGUUAUCCGCCUGGGGAGUACGGUCGCAAGAUUAAAACUCAAAGGAAUUGACGGGGGCCUGCACAAGCGGUGGAGCAUGUGGUUUAAUUCGAAGCAACGCGCAGANCCUUACCAGCCUUUGACAUCCUGGUCGCGGGGAGAGGAGACUCACCCCUUCAGUUCGGCUGGACCAGUGACAGGUGCUGCAUGGCUGUCGUCAGCUCGUGUCGUGAGAUGUUGGGUUAAGUCCCGCAACGAGCGCAACCCUCGUCCUUAGUUGCCAUCAUUUAGUUGGGAACUCUAAGGAAACCGCCGGUGAUAAGCCGGAGGAAGGUGGGGAUGACGUCAAGUCCUCAUGGCCCUUACAGGCUGGGCUACACACGUGCUACAAUGGCGAUGACAGUGGGCAGCUAUCCCGCAAGGGUGAGCUAAUCUCCAAAAGUCGUCUCAGUUCGGAUUGUCCUCUGCAACUCGAGGGCAUGAAGGCGGAAUCGCUAGUAAUCGCGGAUCAGCAUGCCGCGGUGAAUACGUUCCCAGGCCUUGUACACACCGCCCGUCACACCAUGGGAGUUGGUUUCACCCGAAGGUGGUGCGCUAACCCGCAAGGGAGGCAGCCAACCACGGUGGGAUCAGCGACUGGGGUGAAGUCGUAACAAGGUAGCCGUAGGGGAACCUGCGGCUGGAUCACCUCCUU